CUCGAGUGGCGAACGGGUGAGUAACACGUGGGUGAUCUGCCCUGCACUUCGGGAUAAGCUUGGGAAACUGGGUCUAAUACCGGAUAGGAACCAUCUUUAGUGUGGCGGUUGGAAAGUUUUUUCGGUGUAGGAUGAGCUCGCGGCCUAUCAGCUUGUUGGUGGGGUAAUGGCCUACCAAGGCGGCGACGGGUAGCCGGCCUGAGAGGGUGUACGGCCACAUUGGGACUGGGAUACGGCCCAGACUCCUACGGGAGGCAGCAGUGGGGAAUAUUGCACAAUGGGCGCAAGCCUGAUGCAGCGACGCCGCGUGGGGGAUGAAGGCCUUCGGGUUGUAAACUCCUUUCGCUAGGGACGAAGCUUUUUGUGACGGUACCUAGAUAAGAAGCACCGGCUAACUACGUGCCAGCAGCCGCGGUAAUACGUAGGGUGCGAGCGUUGUCCGGAAUUACUGGGCGUAAAGGGCUCGUAGGUGGUUUGUCGCGUCGUCUGUGAAAUUCUGGGGCUUAACUCCGGGCGUGCAGGCGAUACGGGCAUAACUUGAGUGCUGUAGGGGUAACUGGAAUUCCUGGUGUAGCGGUGAAAUGCGCAGAUAUCAGGAGGAACACCGAUGGCGAAGGCGGGUUACUGGGCAGUUACUGACGCUGAGGAGCGAAAGCAUGGGUAGCGAACAGGAUUAGA
Molecule: ribosomal RNA, 678 nt
Filed under: uncultured Actinomycetales bacterium
Lineage: Bacteria; Bacillati; Actinomycetota; Actinomycetes; Actinomycetales
Description: bacterial SSU rRNA
Rfam family: Bacterial small subunit ribosomal RNA
Source: RNAcentral